GUGCUCGCUUUGGCAGCACAUAUACCACUAAAAUUGGAACUUUGCAGAGAAGAUCAGCAUGGCCUCUGGCAAGGAUGACACACAAAUUCGUGAAGUGUUCCAUAUAAAA
Molecule: small nuclear RNA, 109 nt
Filed under: Myotis brandtii (Brandt's bat)
Lineage: Eukaryota; Metazoa; Chordata; Mammalia; Chiroptera; Vespertilionidae
Source: RNAcentral